RNAcentral lists this unclassified non-coding RNA (379 nucleotides) under uncultured bacterium. RNAcentral describes it as "contains 16S-23S intergenic spacer region". The record is from RNAcentral.
UCCGGCUUAUCACCGGCGGUUUCUUUAGAGUGCCCAACUAAAUGAUGGCAACUAAAGACGAGGGUUGCGCUCGUUGCGGGACUUAACCCAACAUCUCACGGCACGAGCUGACGACAGCCAUGCAGCAUCUGUGCACGCUCCCUUGCGGGUCCCUCGGCUUUCACCUUGGUACCACGUGCAUGUCAAGCCUAGGUAGGGUUCUGCGCGUUGCAUCGAAUUAAACCACACGCUCCGCUGCUUGUGCGGGUCCCCGCCAAUUCCUUUGAGUUUUAGCCUUGCGGCCGUACUCCCCAGGCGGGGCGCUUAAUGCGUUAGCUGCGGCGCAGAAGACCGGAGAGGUCCCCCACACCUAGCGCCCAACGUUUACGGCGUGGACUAC